Coregonus clupeaformis (lake whitefish) is the source of this 326-nucleotide long non-coding RNA. RefSeq lists it as uncharacterized. The record is from RefSeq and is a predicted model, not a curated record. NCBI's taxonomy places the organism in Eukaryota, Metazoa, Chordata, Actinopteri, Salmoniformes, Salmonidae. The transcript is spliced from 3 exons.
CCAGCUACAGACCAGUUACAACAACCUGACUGAAGAAACAGACCAGCUACAGACUGAGAGAGAGAUUCUUAACAGGAGGCUUACCAAUCUCAAACAAACCUGUCCUGAAGGCUGGCAGAAGUUUGAAUCCAGUUGGUACUUCCUGUCUACUGAGACUAAAGCCUGGAAGGAGAGCAGAGAGGACUGUCUGGAGAGAGGAGCAGACCUGGUGAUCAUAAACAGUGAAAAGGAACAGACAUUUCUUAUCAACCUCAAGAAGAGAGUCUGGAUUGGACUGACUGACUCUGUUAAUGAGGGGACCUGGAAAUGGGUGGACGGCACAUCAC